ACGAACGCUGGCGGCGUGCUUAACACAUGCAAGUCGAACGGAAAGGCCCUGCUUGCAGGGUCCUCGAGUGGCGAACGGGUGAGUAACACGUGGGUGAUCUGCCCUGCACUUCGGGAUAAGCUUGGGAAACUGGGUCUAAUACCGGAUAGGAGCCAUCUUUAGUGUGGUGGUUGGAAAGUUUUUUCGGUGUAGGAUGAGCUCGCGGCCUAUCAGCUUGUUGGUGGGGUAAUGGCCUACCAAGGCGGCGACGGGUAGCCGGCCUGAGAGGGUGUACGGCCACAUUGGGACUGAGAUACGGCCCAGACUCCUACGGGAGGCAGCAGUGGGGAAUAUUGCACAAUGGGCGCAAGCCUGAUGCAGCGACGCCGCGUGGGGGAUGAAGGCCUUCGGGUUGUAAACUCCUUUCGCUAGGGACGAAGCUUUUUUGUGACGGUACCUAGAUAAGAAGCACCGGCUAACUACGUG
Molecule: ribosomal RNA, 465 nt
Filed under: uncultured bacterium
Lineage: Bacteria
Description: partial 16S ribosomal RNA
Rfam family: Bacterial small subunit ribosomal RNA
Source: RNAcentral